RNAcentral lists this long non-coding RNA (1236 nucleotides) under Cyanistes caeruleus (blue tit). RNAcentral's name for it is "lncRNA (ENSCCEG00000000275.1)". Lineage: Eukaryota; Metazoa; Chordata; Aves; Passeriformes; Paridae. The record is from RNAcentral.
AAAAGAAAAAGAAAAAGAAAAAGAAAAAGAAAAAGAAAAAGAAAAAGAAAAAGAAAAAGAGAAAGAGAAAAAGAAAAAGAAAAAGAAAAAGAAAAAGAAAAAGAAAAAGAAAAAGAAAAAGAAAAAGAAAAAGAAAAAAAAAGAAAAAGAAAAAGAAAAAGAAAAAGAAAAAAAAGAGAAAAAGAAAAAGUUUCUUAACAUCAUAUGUCAUCACUUGGACUCUUUCAAAGAAUUUUAAAUCUGGUAGAGGAGGAGAAUGACACAUUAUGUUUUUCUUUUUUCUUUCCUGCAGUUUCUAAUAUCAUCACGUGAACAAGAGAAUAGAUCUGUAGCUACCAUGCUGCUUCUGUCUGACGUGUGAUAACAAUCAUCAGAAACAAUAGCCCUUCUGCCAUAAGGCUGCUUAAGCAGGGGGAAAAAUUUAGAUGAUAAGUCAUCUUAGACUAGUAUUCAUUACUCAUAAAUCCAUUUUUUUGGGUGUUCCAAAGUCACUCGAGAGAAGAAAUCUCCUGGAAGCUUCAAUUAUCCUGGAGAAGAAGCCACCCUCACAGACAUGUAUCUUUGUCACCUUCAUAUUCAUUGCAGAGUAAAAGCUCCUUCUUUCCAGGAGAGAGAGUUCAAUAGAGAUUCAGUAAUGGCUGGAGCCUUCUGUUGUUGUCAAACCAUGUAAUAUAAUAAUACAUAAUCAUAAUAAUAUUAAAACACUGCUCUCUUUUGAUCUUCUUUUGCUAUUAACUAGCAAAUUAUUAAAUUAUUAAUUAAUUAAUUAUUUAAAUAAGCUAUUUUUUGAUCCUGUGUUAUUCUAUCACAAAGUGAAAAAAUGCAUACCAUUUGAUGACCUCAGAAGUUAUUAAAAAGCAUUUCAUAUUUCCAGAAGCAGCUAUUACAUUGUAGGAUAGUUUUGUAUAGGUUUAUCUUUUUUUUUCCACUUCUGAUUGCAGAAAUGAUCCUAAAACUUCUAUCAGCUGAAGAAUCUGGGGAAUCUAUUAUAUUGACUGUUCAAAACAAAUGUUGAAACAAUUUUGAAGUCAAGAAUUAACUAAAACCCUACAACAAAAUACUGCAUUAUUUUCCAUCACACAAGAAGUGAGAGCUACAGAAAAUGUAGAGUUAUGGCCUUUUCCAGAAAAGAAAAGCAGAGUCACAUUAAGAUGUCCUGAGUUUGCAGUAGACUACAUUUGGUUUAAUGUAAUUUUAGGCUUAUGAAUGGUAAUAAAUCUGAAUAGCAAAGAAACA